GUCAUAUGCUUGUCUCAAAGAUUAAGCCAUGCAUGUCUCAGUACAAGCCAAAUUAAGGUGAAACCGCGAAAGGCUCAUUAAAUCAGUUAUGGUUCCUUAGAUMGUACCCACAAUUACUUGGAUAACUGUGGUAAUUCUAGAGCUAAUACAUGCAAACAGAGCUCCGACCGGAGACGGAAGGAGUGCUUUUAUUAGAUCAAAACCAAUCGGUGGCGGGUGCGUUCGCGCGCUCUCGUCAUCGUACAACCUGGUGACUCUGAAUAACUUUACGCUGAUCGCACGGUCAUCGCACCGGCGACGCAUCUUUCAAAUGUCUGCCUUAUCAACUGUCGAUGGUAGGUUCUGCGCCUACCAUGGUCGUAACGGGUAACGGGGAAUCAGGGUUCGAUUCCGGAGAGGGAGCCUGAGAAACGGCUACCACAUCCAAGGAAGGCAGCAGGCGCGCAAAUUACCCACUCCCGGCACGGGGAGGUAGUGACDAAAAAUAACGAUACGGGACUCAUCCGAGGCCCCGUAAUYGGAAUGARUACACUCUAAACCCUUUAACGAGGAUCAAUUGGAGGGCAAGUCUGGUGCCA
Molecule: ribosomal RNA, 578 nt
Filed under: Trigonopterus ampanensis
Lineage: Eukaryota; Metazoa; Arthropoda; Insecta; Coleoptera; Curculionidae
Description: SSU rRNA
Source: RNAcentral